Molecule: long non-coding RNA, 3294 nt
Filed under: Sus scrofa (pig)
Lineage: Eukaryota; Metazoa; Chordata; Mammalia; Artiodactyla; Suidae
Description: lncRNA (ENSSSCG00050044600.1)
Source: RNAcentral
GGGCCUGGGCACCAGAGGCCACGACAGGCGGCCACCGCCCCAGGCCACUAAGGACCCUGAACCUGGAGGUCAGAGUCAGGACGUGAGGGUCAGGGAACACGCACUUGCAUCCCCGCCCCCUGUUCACGGCCGUGUGGCCUGGAGCCCCGUCACCAGCUCCCUCCCUGGACGGGGGACAGGCCUCACGCAGGGAUCACUGUGCAUCUGGGCUCCUUGAUCCGAAGCACCCAGACCCGGGCCCGCCCUCAGUGGCGCAUCGCUCUCCUGGGGAAAACAGGCAAAAAUAAACAGACUGAAAAGGAAGUAGGCGCAAACCCAGUGCGGGGCGGCGGGAGGUGAUGAAUCUCGCCUCUCCCGGUCUGGAGUUAAUGAGGAGCCUGAGUCAGGAGGCAGAUGGGACCGACCCAUCCGCUGUGCUGCUGGAAAUGAGAAGCUGCUGGAGACGUUCUGACUCAGAACCAGAUGGCCCCUGCUCCAUCCCCUGCAUUCAAGAUGGAAGUGAAGGACCUUGAGAUGAGACGCCCUGGAUGCAGGUGAGACUCAGCACCAGUGAUAAGUGUCCUUGUGGAAAGAGGGAAGGCCCCAUGAAAGCAGAGUCAGGGACGGCAGCUACAGGCGGCUCUGAGCCCCCGUUCCCAGCGGUUUGUUGCAGCAGCUUCGGAUGCUCCAUGGAUACCAAGGCACGCGAGGGAAGCAAACCUACCAGCACAGUCGAACUUGCCUCGGCGCCAACACAGCUUAACCUUCAGGGCCCCUCACUUGCGAAGACCCCCUUCUGCAGCCCAGUUCCUGUUUGCGUAUUCCUUUUGUCAAAGGGGCCCCCUCCGCAGAUGGGGAAAGUAUUGGGUCCCACACACUCUGGCUCCCUCCCUGUUGCCACCAGGGUACAGCACACAGCCUGCAGUAUAGACGCUUCCGUGGGUUUUCUGUCAUCUGAACAUCCACCCAGCCAGUCCUCCGUGUCUUCAGCCAAGCUGGAUUAUCGAGUCCCUGCUGUCUCGGGAUGUAACUUGGAAAGAGAACCAGAGACAAUUUGGAGGCAAAGUAAAUGGGCUGCAGCAAGAUGCGCAUGAAGAAAGAGAGAGGCUGAAAGGGGAACCUGAGCAGAGAGUGGUUGUUCUACCUGGAAAUCAUGACAGCCCCACCAAGGAGAUAACCUCCAGUCUGGGCUUUUAAGGAUGGGUAGGAGUUCGCCAGGAGACAAGGGGGAGGACAGCUUAGGUCGGGGGCACUGUGCGGGCAAAGGUGUGGGACAGCCCCUGGCCCUGGGGCAGCAGUGUGCGACAGCCUGCCUGGCCCAUGGGGCCUGCAGGAUGAAGAGAGAGGGAAGGGCCGGGGCUGGGCCUGGAGUCCUGGGGCAGGGAGAAGUAACAGGUGUGAGGUCCGCAAACGUGGCAGCUUAAUAUGAGAAGAAUCUCCUUCCUCUGAAGGCUGGGGCAGGGCGUGGGGGUGAGGUGUUUCCAGGCCCCUUCCAGCUGCUGGCUGUUGUGGCAGUUCCAUUGUCCAGCCCCUUGCAGCUGCACCCUCCAGUCUCUGCCUCCCUCAUUACAGGACCUUCUCCCUGUGUCUCUCUGGGUCCCUUCGCCUUUUUUUUUUUUUCCAGCUGCACCCACAUCAGGCAGAAGUUCCCAAGCCAGGGGUCGAAUGCGCUCCACAUCUGUAAGUAACCAGAGCCACUGCAGUGACAACGCCAGAUCCUUAACCCACUGAGCCACCAGGGAACUCCCCUUCUCCUCUUCUUAUGAGGACACCAGCCAUAGUAGAGACGUUACUAAUCAGGUAAUUCAAUUACAUCUGCAAGGACACCAGAGUAUUUCCAAGUAAGGUCACGUACACAGGGGCCUGGGCUCAGGGCUUCAAUGACCUUUCUGGGGACACAGUUCAACCCACAACAGGGAGGAGGAACCACAGGACUUGGUACUGAUUAGAUGGACCUUAUGGCCUGAAUGGUCUACACGGCCUCCCUCCCACGGCACAUGUUGAAAUCCUGAUAGCCUUGUGACCGCAUCGGAGACAGGGCCUUUAGGAGGUGAGGACCGCGGCUGUCUGCAAGCCAGGAAGAGAGCUCUCAGCAGAAACCUCGUGCUGCCAAAACCUUGAUGUUCCAGCCUCCAGAACCAUGAGAAGAAAGUUUCUGUCCUUAAGCCCCCAGUGUGCGGCAUUUUAUCACGGCAGGCUGAGCUAAGACAAUGGGGUUGGGGCUGGAUGAGCAGGCAGCAGAGCGGAACUGAGGAGGAAUUCCCCAGGCUUGGAGGAAGCUCUGACCCACAGGUGCUGGGUCCCGAUGGCCCGGCCAGGAGCUGAGGUUUUAGGGAGGAACUGGACUCGGCCCAAGGCUUCCAGGAGCUGCAGGUCAGGCAGGGAGUCAGGAAGGGGCCCAGGCCUGCCAGGUACAAUGAUGCAGGUGGUGGCUCAGGGACAAGGGGCCAGGACAAUCGAAGCGGCCCCAAGGGGCAGGGAGGCCCCAGGAAGGGGCCAUCAGAACAGUCAAGAACCCGGUCGUUGGCACUUCCUCCGGCCUAACUACUCAGCGUUGUCUCUGCAGCAGCUCUGGAUCAGUCCCUGGCCUUGGAACUUCCACAUGUCGAGGGUGCAGCCAAACACUUUAAAAAAAGAACUCUUGCCUGCUCUGACUGAUGGCUCCCAGGCCAGGGAUCAGAUACGAGCUGCAGCUGCAACCUGCGCUGCAGCUGCAGCAACGCUGGAUCCUUCAACCCACCAUUCAUUCUUAUGCCGCUUAAAUGUCACCUCCACUACGUGCAGAAGCUCGAUGGACUUGAGCACGUAGAUCGGGCAACAUUUGGGGGGUUUGGCCUCACAGAUGGUCGGCUCUCUGGGUUGGCAAGUUCCUGCCUGGCUUCCUUUGCUGUUGUCACGGAGUUGCCGUUGCCAUGGCGUCUGUGUGUGCACGGGGGACCAUCGCGCAUCUCCUCAGCUUCGGGAGCACGCAUCCAGAGCCUGGGAAGACUGCGGAGAGAGAAGAAGGAGGCGUGGCGUGUGGGAGGGAGUCCACCUGGGCGCCUAGUGUUGACGGAGCCGAGAAAAGAGGGGUGGUACUGUGCCGCCCCUGAACCAGAAGAGAGGGAUGGAGGCAGAGGUGCCUGCAGGGCCUGCCGGGCCCUCAGCUGUAGAGGCCCGGGGAGGGGGGGUCAACCGAGGGUCUUCUAUCUGGCCUUCUGCUGCCCCUCCUUCGCAACCACUUCCUGCCACUGUCCCAAAGUCACGGCAAAUGCAGCCCAGGAGUGAAAUACUGCCGAUUUAACCUGUGCCUCUGAUAAAUAAAUGAACAAGUGU